RNAcentral lists this ribosomal RNA (158 nucleotides) under Phlebia radiata. RNAcentral's name for it is "5.8S ribosomal RNA". It matches the Rfam family "5.8S ribosomal RNA". From Rfam's summary of the family: 5.8S ribosomal RNA (5.8S rRNA) is a component of the large subunit of the eukaryotic ribosome. Lineage: Eukaryota; Fungi; Basidiomycota; Agaricomycetes; Polyporales; Meruliaceae. The record is from RNAcentral. RNAcentral also lists the same sequence under 1 other name.
AAUACAACUUUCAGCAACGGAUCUCUUGGCUCUCGCAUCGAUGAAGAACGCAGCGAAAUGCGAUAAGUAAUGUGAAUUGCAGAAUUCAGUGAAUCAUCGAAUCUUUGAACGCACCUUGCGCUCCUUGGUAUUCCGAGGAGCAUGCCUGUUUGAGUGUC